This 310-nucleotide unclassified non-coding RNA is filed under the name Psychrobacter sp. LV10R520-6. Its description in RNAcentral is "Long range pseudoknot". Lineage: Bacteria; Pseudomonadati; Pseudomonadota; Gammaproteobacteria; Moraxellales; Moraxellaceae. The record is from RNAcentral.
ACUGAAGAAGCCGAUUAUCAGGUCAAACUGAAAAAGAUCGUCAGUUUCUUAGUAGACCAGGACAAAGUUAAAAUUAGCAUCCGCUUCCGUGGUCGUGAGAUGGCACAUCAAGAUAUCGGUCGUAAGCAGCUCGAUCGCAUCAUUGAAGACACCGCUGAUAUCUCAAACGUCGAACAAUACCCAAAAAUGGAAGGUCGACAAAUGGGUAUGCUACUAGGACCUACGAAGAAAAAAUAGGCAGACGGUAAAUUUUAGUCACAACAACAACCUAUUUGUAUUUUUUGACCAUCAAUAUGCCGCGGGAUAUUGA